AAUUGUUAGCUUAAGGAAAGUAUUAGAUUUUUAAUCUAAAGAUGUGUUUCACAGUUUGUU
Molecule: transfer RNA, 60 nt
Filed under: Parafilaroides normani
Lineage: Eukaryota; Metazoa; Nematoda; Chromadorea; Rhabditida; Filaroididae
Description: tRNA-Lys
Rfam family: tRNA
About the family: Transfer RNA (tRNA) molecules are approximately 80 nucleotides in length. Their secondary structure includes four short double-helical elements and three loops (D, anti-codon, and T loops).
Source: RNAcentral